Long non-coding RNA from Aedes albopictus (Asian tiger mosquito), 321 nucleotides. RefSeq lists it as uncharacterized. NCBI's taxonomy places the organism in Eukaryota, Metazoa, Arthropoda, Insecta, Diptera, Culicidae. The record is from RefSeq and is a predicted model, not a curated record. The transcript has 2 exons.
CGCCGAGGACCUGGGAUCGAAUCCCACUCCCGACAAACUCACAAAGUGUGAGAUCUUCCUUCGGAAGGGAAAUAAAGCGUGGGUUCCGAGAUGAACUAGCCUAGGGCUAAAAAUCUCGUUUUUUUUUCUCUGUUCGGGACAUAACCACUGCGACCAAUAUUUUGAUCUAUUGUGGUAUACCCCGUGUCCUUUGUAUAGUGCAUGUCGUAUUACUUUAUCACCAUUGAGAAGUUAUAAAGUAUUCGGUUUUGUUACAGUGGUCAUUUUCAACAUAAUCGCAAGGAAGGAUUCUGAUUGAUAGGUUCCGCUUUUAACACGCUC